UACUCAACAUUAAUGCAUACGGUGGAUGCCUUGGUCGAAAGUACCGAUGAAGGACGUAAUAAGCUGCGAUAAGCUUCGGGAAGCUGCUAAUAAGCUUUGAUCCGAAGAUUUCCGAAUAGAGUAAUCAGUCCGAUUUAUCGGACACUGUUAACUGAAUUCAUAGGUUAACGGAGGGUACGCGCUGAACUGAAACAUCUAAGUAAGCGCAGGAAAAGAGAACAAUAGUUUAUUCCCCAAGUAGCGGCGAGCGAAAAGGGAACAGCCCAAACCCGCGCAAAUUUUCGUAAGAAAAUUUGAACGGGGGUUGUAGGAUUCCGCAUAAAGGAUCAGAUAAGGAUAGUUGAAAUGCCUGGAAAGGUAUGCCAAAGAACAUGAUAGCUGUGUAAACGAAAUCCAAAUUUGCCUGCGGGACACCUGAGUAGCAUAGGACACGUGUAAUCCUGUGUGAAGCUAGCAAGACCACUUGUUAAGGCUAAAUAUACUUUCGGACCGAUAGUGAACUAGUACCGCGAGGGAAAGGUGAAAAGAAGAGCGAAACGCUCAGUGAAAUAGUACCUGAAACCGUAUGUUGACAAGCAGUGAAACUCGUGCUUCGCACAAGAGUAAUUAACUAUUUGUUGUUAGUUUUUAGCUGGAAAUUGUUAAAGCUGAUAGCGAGAAGUUAGUUAUCUUUGUGCGGAGCGUGAGAAUCGCGUGCCUAUUGAAGAAUGAACCGGUGAGUUACCGUAUCCUUUUUGCUUAAGCCAUUAUGUGGCGGAAGCGCAGUGAAAGCGAGGGUUAAUAGCCCGAUUUUAAAGGAUGCGAUAGACCCGAAACCGAGUGAGCUAUCCAUGUCCAGGGUGAACCCGCCUUAAUAAGCGUGGGGAGGCCCGAACCCGUUGUUGUAUCAAUAACAUGGGAUGAGGUGUGGUUAGAGGUGAUAUGCCUA
Molecule: ribosomal RNA, 928 nt
Filed under: Patescibacteria group bacterium
Lineage: Bacteria
Description: partial 23S ribosomal RNA
Rfam family: Bacterial large subunit ribosomal RNA
Source: RNAcentral